RNAcentral lists this long non-coding RNA (1272 nucleotides) under Triticum aestivum (bread wheat). RNAcentral describes it as "long non-coding RNA (TAES_LNC010009)". The record is from RNAcentral. Lineage: Eukaryota; Viridiplantae; Streptophyta; Magnoliopsida; Poales; Poaceae.
CGGAUAUUUAGAGUAUUAUACAUCUCUAAUCUGCAUAUUUGAGACCAACAUGAUAAUGUUCCAUACUUCUUAAGCCAUUUUGGUGCCACCUAUUGUACCAUCAUUUUUUGCUUCAGGUAUUGUCCUCAUUUCCAAACAAUUCCAUUGUCUUCGCUUCUCUACUCACAUGUGUUUUUUAGUCUUCCUCUCACUCUUUUGAGCUUCUACAGAACUGAUGUCUGACUGCUAUGUUUACCCUUCUGAAUAAUACCCUUGUCAAGUUUUCAGCUUUUAAUGUAAAACUGUAACCAAUUACCGAAAUUUUGGAGUUCUUUUUCACCUUUUCUUGUCCGGUUGUGGAUAAAAAAAACUUAUGCUGAAUCAUUGCGUCUCCAGACGAGCAGUGCAGAUUUGAGAGUUAGGUUAUUUGUCAAAAGUUUUCCGUUUUAUCCAUACAAUAGUAAAAUUAGUUUUACAUAAUUUGAAUGUGUGCUCGCAUGAGCUUGUAAACUUCUCUCGUGUGUCCACACAAGGGCGGAAGGAAGAUUCUUUCUGUGAAGAAACCUAUUUUGUAUGAAGUUGUAGUUGAUUUUGUCGGACUGGGAAGUGAUGGAUGCACCAAGUAGGUGGUCUUUAUUUCUGGGAUUAGAAUUUUCAAAAGGACUGUUUCUUCUCACCUUGAUCUUGUGAUCUAAUGAAAUUUAUUCCUGAUUUUUAUCAGGGACACAACAGUGAAGAUGUUUUUGAAUUUCGUGUUGUAGCUAAAUGGUGAAGUUUUCAUGAAUUCAUGUUAUGAAUUGGUUCUCACUUUUUUUAUCAUAACCUUUUAUUAUCUCAUGAUUUAUUGAUUUUUUUUUGUUUUUUCUAUUGAUAUUUCUGUUUGCAAAACGAUUAUUAGAUAUUGGAGAAUUAACGAGGUAUGGCUACUGCCAAGCAUGCUUUCAGAAGUACACGAUUCAAGAGAUUUUCUAUUUUGGCAGAAGUUGGUGUGCCUACUGACAAGUGUGCUCUGAAAAUUAGUCAAUUACUGCACCAGCUGGACUUAUAGAUCGGUUCACAAGGUUCUUUCUGGACAGUAGUAAUGGUUUUAAUACAUUUAAAACAUGUAUGGUUAUUUGAUUCAUGAACAAAACAAAUAUAUUCUCUUUUGAGCUUUGGGCAUUUCACAUAUGACCAUUGUACUGUUGCACUAUUACUACGACCUAUGUGAAAGGUAAAUAAACCUUUCAGCAACAUAUGUUGGUAUAAUUCUCUCCCAACUAGCAUUAUAUGCCAUAUAUAGUUGUUUUUUUU